GUGGUUGGGUCAUGGACGCAGUCUGACCAGCCAUGCCGCGUGCAGGAUGACGGUCCUAUGGAUUGUAAACUGCUUUUGUACGGAAAAAAACUACUCUACGUGUAGAGUCCUGACGGUACCGUAAGAAUAAGGAUCGGCUAACUCCGUGCCAGCAGCCGCGGUAAUACGGAGGAUCCGAGCGUUAUCCGGAAUCAUUGGGUUUAAAGGGUCCGUAGGCGGUUUUAUAAGUCAGUGGUGAAAUCCGGCAUCUCAACUGUCGAACUGCCAUUGAUACUGUAUAACUUGAAUUAUUGUGAAGUAACUAGAAUAUGUAGUGUAGCGGUGAAAUGCUUAUAUAUUACAUGGAAUACCAAUUGCGAACGCAGGUUACUAACAAUACAUUGACGCUGAUGGACGAAAGCGUGGGGAGCGAACAGGAUUACAUACCCUGGUAGUCCACGCCGUAAACUAUGGAUACUAUCUGUUCGGUCGCAAGACUGAGUGGCUAAGCGAAAGUGAUAAGUAUCCCACCUGGGGAGUACGAACGCAAGUUUGAAACUCACAGGAAUUGACGGGGGCCCGCACAAGCGGUGGAGCAUGUGGUUUAAUUCGAUGAUACCCGAGGAACCUUACCAGGGCUUAAAUGUAGGAUGACAGGUUUGGAAACAGACUUUUCUUCGGACAUUCUACAAGGUGCUGCAUGGUUGUCGUCAGCUCGUGCCGUGAGGUGUCAGGUUAAGUCCUAUAACGAGCGCAACCCCUGUUGUUAGUUGCCAGCGAGUAAUGUCGGGAACUCUAGCAAGACUGCCGGUGCAAACCGCGAGGAAGGUGGGGAUGACGUCAAAUCAUCACGGCCCUUACGUCCUGGGCUACACACGUGCUACAAUGGCCGGUACAGAGAGCAGCCACCUAGCGACAGGAGCGAAUCUAUAGGCCGGUCACAGUUCGGAUUGGUAGUCUGCAACCCGACUCCUGAAGCUGGGAUCCCUAGUAAUCGGAUAUCAGCCAUGAUCCGGUGAAUACGUUCCCGGGCCCUUGGACCCCACCGCCCGAUCAAGCCAUGUAAGCUGGCGGGUACCUGAAAGUCGGUAUACCGCCAAGGAUCUGCCCUAUGGUAAAAACUGGGUAACUGAGC
This 1114-nucleotide ribosomal RNA is filed under the name Flavobacterium sp. G23-27. RNAcentral describes it as "bacterial SSU rRNA". It matches the Rfam family "Bacterial small subunit ribosomal RNA", at positions 359 to 1481 of the family's 1533-position model. Lineage: Bacteria; Pseudomonadati; Bacteroidota; Flavobacteriia; Flavobacteriales; Flavobacteriaceae. The record is from RNAcentral.